Molecule: ribosomal RNA, 585 nt
Filed under: uncultured bacterium
Lineage: Bacteria
Description: partial 16S ribosomal RNA
Rfam family: Bacterial small subunit ribosomal RNA
Source: RNAcentral
UGGGGAAUUUUGGACAAUGGGCGAAAGCCUGAUCCAGCAAUGCCGCGUGUGUGAAGAAGGCCUUCGGGUUGUAAAGCACUUUUGUCCGGAAAGAAAUCCUUGGCUCUAAUACAGUCGGGGGAUGACGGUACCGGAAGAAUAAGCACCGGCUAACUACGUGCCAGCAGCCGCGGUAAUACGUAGGGUGCAAGCGUUAAUCGGAAUUACUGGGCGUAAAGCGUGCGCAGGCGGUUUGCUAAGACAGAUGUGAAAUCCCCGGGCUCAACCUGGGAACUGCAUUUGAAACUGGCAAGCUAGAGUCUCGUAGAGGGGGGUAGAAUUCCAGGUGUAGCGGUGAAAUGCGUAGAGAUGUGGAGGAAUACCGAUGGCGAAGGCAGCCCCCUGGGCCAAUACUGACGCUCAUGCACGAAAGCGUGGGGAGCAAACAGGAUUAGAUACCCUGGUAGUCCACGCCCUAAACGAUGUCAACUAGUUGUUGGGGAUUCAUUUCCUUAGUAACGUAGCUAACGCGUGAAGUUGACCGCCUGGGGAGUACGGUCGCAAGAUUAAAACUCAAAUGAAUUGACGGGGUCAUAGCUGUUUCCU